This 492-nucleotide ribosomal RNA is filed under the name uncultured bacterium. RNAcentral describes it as "partial 16S ribosomal RNA". It matches the Rfam family "Bacterial small subunit ribosomal RNA", at positions 29 to 507 of the family's 1533-position model. The record is from RNAcentral.
AGUGAACGCUGGCGGUAGGCCUAACACAUGCAAGUCGAACGGCAGCACAGUAAGAGCUUGCUCUUACGGGUGGCGAGUGGCGGACGGGUGAGGAAUACAUCGGAAUCUACUUUUUCGUGGGGGAUAACGUAGGGAAACUUACGCUAAUACCGCAUCCGACCUACGGGUGAAAGCAGGGGAUCUUCGGACCUUGCGCGAUUGAAUGAGCCGAUGUCGGAUUAGCUAGUUGGCGGGGUAAAGGCCCACCAAGGCGACGAUCCGUUGCUGGUCUGAGAGGAGGGUCGGCCACACUGGAACGGAGACACGGUCCAGACUCCUACGGGAGGCAGCAGUGGGGAAUAUUGGACAAUGGGCGCAAGCCUGAUCCAGCCAUACCGCGUGGGUGAAGAAGGCCUUCGGGUUGUAAAGCCCUUUUGUUGGGAGAGAAAAGCAGCAGGUUAAUACCCCGCUGUUCUGACGGUACCCAAAGAAUAAGCACCGGCUAACUUCGUG